GACGAACGCUGGCGGCGUGCUUAACACAUGCAAGUCGAACGGAAAGGCCCUGCUUUUGUGGGGUGCUCGAGUGGCGAACGGGUGAGUAACACGUGAGUAACCUGCCCUUGACUUUGGGAUAACUUCAGGGAACUGGGGCUAAUACCGGAUAGGAGCUCCUGCUGCAUGGUGGGGGUUGGAAAGUUUCGGCGGUUGGGGAUGGACUCGCGGCUUAUCAGCUUGUUGGUGGGGUAGUGGCUUACCAAGGCUUUGACGGGUAGCCGGCCUGAGAGGGUGACCGGCCACAAUGGGACUGAGGGACGGCCCAGACUCCUACGGGAGGCAGCAGUGGGGAAUAUUGCACAAUGGGCGGAAGCCUGAUGCAGCAACGCUGCGUGCGGGAUGACGGCCUUCGGGUGGUAAACCGCUUUCGCCGGUGAUGAAGCGUGAGUGACGGUAACGGGUAAAGAAGCACCGGCUAACUACGUG
RNAcentral lists this ribosomal RNA (468 nucleotides) under uncultured bacterium. RNAcentral describes it as "partial 16S ribosomal RNA". It matches the Rfam family "Bacterial small subunit ribosomal RNA", at positions 28 to 507 of the family's 1533-position model. The record is from RNAcentral.